GAAUGAUAUAAUAUUGCAGUUUUACACUUUGGAGUCAUUAUUUGACAUAUAGUAAAGCAGGUGUUAUGUAGGUACGGUGUGAUGGAAAGUAUAGAAACCCACUGUCCUGUACAAGGUGUGGGUUAAAGUGGCAUGUGUGUAUUUGUACAGCUGGUGUCUGAAUUAUUCGUAGACCGGAGAAAAGCUCCCCUGAAAACCACAGCUGUGAUUCUGUAAGUGUAAUACUACUAAUAGUAAGUACUUCUGGGAACAUCUCUUUGCAUCCUUUAAACAUUAGUUUAAAACAAAAAAAGGAUCUGAAUGUUUUUGGAUGCAAUCAUCUACCACGUGGCUUUGUACUGUUGUGUUUGUGAGCUUAAUAAAUAACUAAGAGUGAAACAAACUUUCUCAUUUUUAUCCAUUUAGGUUCCCUUUAUUUGAGUUUGAAAAAUGAAAAUCAGGGAUUUUAUGAGAAACAGACUCCAAAUCAGUACUGCAUGUCCUAUUUUAUUAAACUUAUAUUCUUCUUUAUAUUAUAUUCUUCUUUUUCUAGGUGAGGUUUUUUUAUUUUGUUGUAUUUAGCAGGUGUUGAGAAAAAACUCCUCUGGAAUUGUGUAAAAGUAAAAGUUUAAACAUUUUAACAUUUAAAAUGUUAAAAUGUUCAAUGUUCACCUUAAAAAAGGUGAACAUUGAACAUUUUAACAUUUUAAGGCCAAAUAUAGGGUAACGUGCUUGUCCAUCCCAUAAUAUCACCGAUGAGAGCGGGAUUUGUUUUGUUUCAACCGGACGCGGAUUGGCCCAUCUAUACACCCAUACAUGUAUGUACCUUGCUUACAUAAACACCACAGAAGAAGACGUAUCCUAAAGAACCCAUUUUAAUAAUGUGGACUGGAGCGACCAUGAACCGUUCCCCGCCAGUCCUCAUCACUCAUCCCGCAGUUUCCUCCCGCACAUUCUGCAGAAGACGCUCCAUGGGCCAUGGAUGUGUACUUAUCUGGCUUGUUGUUCAGCCUGGAGCUCUGCGAAUAAACACAGACGAGGAAGUGCAAGGGAUUGGAUCCAUAAUGGCAGCAGCAGUGGACCAGUUUACGCAAAACAAUCAAGCCAAGGAGUGGAAGCAAAGGGGCUGUCAUUGUCCAGGGAUGUGAACCUGCAACCUUUUCAAUUUCACCCCACACUUCAAAGCCCUUCCGCCUGGACGAUCGCACGUCCCGGACAAAGGUCAAAAGACUUGGCAAAGUUCCAAAAGCCUGGUGGCAUUAUACCAGGACGUGAAAUGAAUGAAAAUGUGGACGGUAGGAACUAA
Molecule: long non-coding RNA, 1285 nt
Filed under: Betta splendens (Siamese fighting fish)
Lineage: Eukaryota; Metazoa; Chordata; Actinopteri; Anabantiformes; Osphronemidae
Description: lncRNA (ENSBSLG00000009597.1)
Source: RNAcentral